AAGAACUCUUCAGCUCCUU
RNAcentral lists this small nuclear RNA (19 nucleotides) under Arabidopsis thaliana (thale cress). Its description in RNAcentral is "snRNA_12684". Lineage: Eukaryota; Viridiplantae; Streptophyta; Magnoliopsida; Brassicales; Brassicaceae. The record is from RNAcentral.